Molecule: small nucleolar RNA, 82 nt
Filed under: Zostera marina
Lineage: Eukaryota; Viridiplantae; Streptophyta; Magnoliopsida; Alismatales; Zosteraceae
Description: Small nucleolar RNA SNORD24
Rfam family: Small nucleolar RNA SNORD24
About the family: U24 is a member of the C/D class of snoRNA which contain the C (UGAUGA) and D (CUGA) box motifs. C/D box snoRNAs have been shown to act as methylation guides for a number of RNA targets.
Source: Rfam by way of RNAcentral
UGCCUAUGAUGUUAAAUAAUAUUUGCUACUCUUGAUGGGGUUUAAAACCAUUUGAUGACAAACCACCAAGAUCUCUGAGGCU